Molecule: long non-coding RNA, 905 nt
Organism: Coregonus clupeaformis (lake whitefish)
Lineage: Eukaryota; Metazoa; Chordata; Actinopteri; Salmoniformes; Salmonidae
Exons: 4
Source: RefSeq, a predicted model, not a curated record
UGAAGAGCCACUCAGGGGUGGAUACUUCAAUGGAUGCGUUUGAAGCUGGAUCUGGUCAGAUCGCUGGCAUAGUGAGUGGAAUAGGAGUGGCCCUUCUUGGUGCUGCCUCCAUCUACUUUGCCUACCAGAAGAAGAAACUGUGUUUCAAGAUUCAGGGAGGUGUAGACCCAGAAAGUGGAAAGAACGCACAUGGAGCUCAGUCUGAUCCCCAAGUGAUGAGCAACUUGCUCAGGUCAUCUUAACUUCGAUCAGAUCAUCAUAGAGGAACUGCACCUUGAGCAAAGAAACACAUUCUUCCAUCAGCAGGUAUCAACUGUCUGCUGGGGGACUUCAGUGGGCAAAAAAAUACAAUAAAAAAAAUAUAUAUAUAUAUAUAUAUUUUUCAUUUGUCUUUCAUUUGGAAUUUAACAUUUGGAGAAUGUUAGUUAUAUGUUUUCUUGUUUUUUUUGCCUUAUCUAGCUGUGUAAAGACACUUAGAUAGAUUUACAACUUGAAUACAUGUUUUUUGCAGUGAAAAUGUAUUGAUACUUUUCAUUGUAUAUUGUUCAGUACCAAACAAUUGUCUUUCAAUAUGCUGAUGUGAUUUUUCAUCACAUUCAUUACUUUUCAUUUCAUACUUUAGUAGGCCUAGCUAGUAUACAUAACUGCAUUUUACAUUUGACUGUUUACAUUGCACAUAGCUUUUGUUGUAUUUGUUUUACUUUAACUGUCUCCAUGUAUAUUCGAUUCAAUUCUGAUAGGCAGUAGGAUCCCUCGUUUCAUAAAAUGUCAGCGCUUGUUUUAAAAUAUAACCCAGGCGAAUCUGUAGUUACACUAAUCAAAACAAACCAUGCACACAAAUGAUAAUUUUAUAACAUGGCACAUUCAUGUAAUUAUUAACUGGAUUCAAAUUUAAUAGAAGGAUU